This 974-nucleotide ribosomal RNA is filed under the name Gymnodinium nolleri. Its description in RNAcentral is "LSU rRNA". It matches the Rfam family "Eukaryotic large subunit ribosomal RNA", at positions 61 to 959 of the family's 3401-position model. Lineage: Eukaryota; Dinophyceae; Gymnodiniales; Gymnodiniaceae. The record is from RNAcentral.
GAAACUAAAUAGGAUUCCCUUAGUAAUGGCGAAUGAACAGGGAUGAGCUCAACAUGGAAAUUUUGGCUUCUGGCCACGAAUUGUAAUCUCUCGACGCGCUGCCAACAGGGGCGUAGAUGUAAGCCGCUUGGAAAAGCGAAUCACUGAGGGUGAGAAUCCUGUUUGUCAUCUGCAGACCUCUGUGUACGGCACACGUUCUAAGAGUCACGUUCCUUGGGAUUGGAGCGCAAAUUGGGUGGUAAAUUUCAUCUAAAGCUAAAUAUGGGUUCGAGACCGAUAGCAAACAAGUACCAUGAGGGAAAGAUGAAAAGGACUUUGAAAAGAGAGUUAAAAGUGCCUGAACUUGCUGAAAGGAAAGCGGAUGGAACCAGUUUUGCUUGGUGAGAUUGUUGCACGCAGCAAUGACCACCUUCUAUUCCAGCGCAAGCGGGGUGGUGGGCUGUGAUUUGUUCGGGUGUGAUGUUUCUUGCCUUGUGUGUCAUCAUCAGUUUGGCGGUGGGGACAACUCUUGGGACCUGGUAGCUUGCCUCUGGGUGAGUGAAUGUGCCUUGCAGGACCCACCAACAAACUGUUCAUCAUUUGUGGGGCUGCGUUGCUUCGUGUUGCGUGCUCUGGCGAGCUUCACACGCGUGGCACCUUCCUUACAAGCAAAUGGUGACGAAAUGGUUCUAUUCGACCCGUCUUGAAACACGGACCAAGGAGUCUAACAUAUGUGCGAGUUCAUGGGUGGUAAAACUUGCGUGCGCAAUGAAAGUGAUUGCUGAGAUAUUAGCAUCAGCGGCCGACCAAUCAAUUGGGAGAGGUUUGAGCAUGAGCAUAUCUGUUAGGACCCGAAAGAUGGUGAACUAUGCCUGAGAAGGGUGAAGUCUGGGGAAACUCAGAUGGAGGCUCGUAGCGAUACUGACGUGCAAAUCGUUCGUCAUACUUGGGUAUAGGGGCGAAAGACUAAUCGAACCAUCUAGUAGCUGGUUCCC